UGAAUACGAGACGCUAAGGCGUCGAAGUAGUGUAUGUCAUACUUCCAAGAAAAGCUUGCACUGUCAUAAGUAAAAAAUGCCUGUACCAUAACCGACACAGGUGGGUAGGUAGAGUAUACUAAGGGGCGCGAGAUAACUCUCUCUAAGGAACUCGGCAAAAUAACUCCGUAACUUCGGGAGAAGGAGUACCUUAUUCUAUAAGGUUGCAAUAACAAGAUCCAAGCAACUGUUUAUCAAAAACACAGGUCUCCGCUAAGUCGUAAGACGAUGUAUAGGGUCUGACGCCUGCCCAGUGCCAGAAGGUUAAAGAAGUCGGUUAGCAUUAGCGAAGCUGGUAACUGAAGCCCUGGUGAACGGCGGCCGUAACGAUAACGGUCCUAAGGUAGCGAAAUUCCUUGUCGGGUAAGUUCCGACCCGCACGAAAGGCGUAAUGAUUUGGAUACUGUCUCGGAGAGGGGCUCGGUGAAAUAGACUUGUCUGUGAAGAUGCGGACUACCUGCACCAGGACAGAAAGACCCUAUGAAGCUUUACUGUAACUUGAAAUUGAAAUUGGACUUUAUUCGCGCAGUAUAGGUGGGAGGUGUUGAUUAUAAUCUUGCGGGAUUAUUGGAGCCAUCAGUGAGAUACCACUCUUGUAAUGUUAGAUUUCUAACUUUGAAUCAUUAUCUGGUCAAAGGACAGUUUCAGGCGGGCAGUUUGACUGGGGCGGUCGCCUCCCAAACGGUAACGGAGGCGUACAAAGGUUUCCUCUGAACGGGUAGAAAUCGUAUCUAGAGUGUAAAGGCAUAAGGAAGCUUGACUGUGAGACCUACAAGUCGAACAGGGACGAAAGUCGGUCUUAGUGAUCUGACGGUACUGAGUGGAAAGGCCGUCACUCAACGGAUAAAAGUUACUCUAAGGAUAACAGGCUGAUCUCCCCCAAGAGUUCACAUCGACGGGGAGGUUUGGCACCUCGAUGUCGGCUCAUCGCAUCCUGGGGCGGUAGUACGUCCCAAGGGUUGGGCUGUUCGCCCAUGAAAGCGGUACGCGAGCUGGGUUCAGAACGUCGUGAGACAGUUCGGUCCAUAUCCGGUGUAGGCGUUAGAAUAUUGAGAGGAGCCUUCUUUAGUACGAGAGGACCGAGAAGGACAUACCUCUGGUGUACCAGUUAUCGUGCCAACGGUAAACGCUGGGUAGCUAUGUAUGGAGUGGAUAACCGCUGAAAGCAUCUAAGUGGGAAGCCCACCUCAAGAUAAGUAUUCCC
Molecule: ribosomal RNA, 1243 nt
Filed under: metagenome
Description: bacterial LSU rRNA
Rfam family: Bacterial large subunit ribosomal RNA
Source: RNAcentral